RNAcentral lists this ribosomal RNA (253 nucleotides) under uncultured bacterium. RNAcentral's name for it is "partial 16S ribosomal RNA". It matches the Rfam family "Bacterial small subunit ribosomal RNA", at positions 524 to 776 of the family's 1533-position model. The record is from RNAcentral.
UACGGAGGGGGCUAGCGUUGCUCGGAAUCACUGGGCGUAAAGCGCACGUAGGCGGAUUGUUAAGUCAGGGGUGAAAUCCUGGAGCUCAACUCCAGAACUGCCUUUGAUACUGGCGAUCUUGAGUCCGGGAGAGGUGAGUGGAACUCCGAGUGUAGAGGUGAAAUUCGUAGAUAUUCGGAAGAACACCAGUGACGAAGGCGGCUCACUGGCCCGGUACUGACGCUGAUGUGCGAAAGCGUGGGGAGCAAACAGG